Molecule: long non-coding RNA, 512 nt
Organism: Myotis myotis
Lineage: Eukaryota; Metazoa; Chordata; Mammalia; Chiroptera; Vespertilionidae
Exons: 3
Source: RefSeq, a predicted model, not a curated record
AAAGAAGUCUGGCGAGUGGAAAAUGCCCGGAACCCUCACUGGACCAACGAUGUAGCAACGGCGCUCUUCUCGUUCACCCCAAACACUGACAUCACCGACACGUCUCCCAGGGUGUGAGCCCAGGCGUGUGGGCACCGUCCCUCCCCAGCCCCAGCAGCUGUGCUCCGUGAUAGACAACCAUGGACCCUCUCGCAGCCAACGAGGACCUGGGUCUCAGCCCACACGGUGCCCACCUGCCUCGGUGCCUCGGUUACCCCUGACUUCACUCAGCUCAGGGGCAGAAAUGGUGUUACCAUGACUCCAGGCUCAGAGGCGGAGGGACCUUAAAGGAAAGAGGGGCAGCUGGGGGAGCCCAAGAACUGUUCUAGGUACGUAUUUCUAUGUUAUUAUUAUUUUUAAUGUGCUGUGUAAUUAUCAUGUAAAGAUAUAGUAUACUCAUAAAUAUAAAAUAUAUACAGCUAUAUAAAAUUUAUACUUGUAUACAAAUAAUGCUUUGUUAUAAAUAUACUAGA